This is a small nuclear RNA of Sorex araneus (European shrew), 105 nucleotides long. Lineage: Eukaryota; Metazoa; Chordata; Mammalia; Eulipotyphla; Soricidae. The record is from Ensembl.
CACACUGUGGGAGGUGAACUCUAAAAUAUAUUAUGACCCCAUAGAAGAUUAGCAUGGCCCCUGCACAAGGAUGACACGCAAAUUCGUGAAGCGUUCCAUGUUUUU